Molecule: long non-coding RNA, 369 nt
Organism: Populus euphratica (Euphrates poplar)
Lineage: Eukaryota; Viridiplantae; Streptophyta; Magnoliopsida; Malpighiales; Salicaceae
Exons: 2
Source: RefSeq, a predicted model, not a curated record
AUUUUUAGAAGCUGGAUUUUAUGCCUAUAGAGUGAACAAGGUAAAAAUUAAAAUUUAGAGGGAAUGGUCAUUUUUUUGGAGGUAAACGUUUCAGUAGACAAUGCUAUUAUAUAUGUGCCACUGGAGAUCAUGGACUGUUAAUUAAUUCUCUAAAUUUGUUCUCAAAUGGUGGAAACUCUUGUUGUUGGUUUAGUUAUAUGAUUUUAUUGUUUAGUAGAAGCGGGAUUUCAACAUUGAGAUCUUCUCGGGAAUAAGGGGAUUGGAGCACGGUGGUUUGGCCAUGGAGCAUGAAUUCUCGUCUUAAAUGUUACAGGGGACCUUGUUUGGGAAUUUAAUCCUCGAGUUUUUGGGUUUGCUUUUUUUGUUACA